Long non-coding RNA from Triticum aestivum (bread wheat), 986 nucleotides. RefSeq lists it as uncharacterized. The record is from RefSeq and is a predicted model, not a curated record. The transcript has 3 exons. Lineage: Eukaryota; Viridiplantae; Streptophyta; Magnoliopsida; Poales; Poaceae.
AUAUUUAUUCCUUUGCAUGCUUGAUUUGUAGUAGCUUGAAUCUGCUGUAUCAUCGAACCAUUGUUGAAGAUGCAGCCCACGUAUACAAUCUCUAGAUAUCACUUUCUUUGACAAAUCAUUUUGGCGGUGAGUGUUCAGUAUUAUAAGCAAGUUAUUCAUAUUUUUAGUUGGAAAUGUAAGCAAAUGCUUUGCAUAAUUGUGCCAGUAUCUUGUAGGUAUUGCUUCACAUCUUUAUAAAUCUUCGUGGUGGAGAGCCAUAUGUCAUAGAUGCAAUGAAGAGCAAGGCAAAACAUAUCUCAGGAACCAUUACAUGAUCUCCUGGCAGACAUAUGGUUAUUGAUUUCUGCCCCAUAAUGCACUGUUAUAUUUAGAAUAUAUGUUCAUGUCUGAAUAAUCUUAGAAUCGAUACAAGUGUCCGCUUAGAUUGUGUUUCUUGCUCAAAGAAGACUUGGAGAAUAAUGCAUGGAAUCAAAGGCUGGAGAUAUAGCUCUAGAGCGAGUAACUAAUCAUAGUAGGGGAACACUAAUUCAUCCCAUGUUAGCUUGGAGGACGACACAACACUGGAGGUAGCAAUGAUGGUGAGAACAUUGAUGAUAACAACUGUGCAUCCGGAGGAGGAUCUCACUAGUCCACCUGCACUUGGAAAUAAUCAAUGACCAUCUUAUGGUAUUUUGGAUCUCUCUGGUGGUACUACAUGCUCAUUAGCAAACUUAAUUAGGUGCUUAGUGUUUGCUGCAAUAUGAUGGAUCUGAAUAGUGAAGUGAUGUAUGUAGGUGAUGCUCCUGAUCAUGAACCUAGGUGACUUAGAAGUGUGUGUAUUUUGUUGUCAUUGCUCUGUGCAAUGUGAUGGAUGAUAAUCAGACUGGUGUCAUGUAUGUGUAGAAUUGUUGUUGCUUUCGAGCAAGUGCAUGUACAACUUUUCAUAUGUCAAUUGCUGGAUGUUGAAUCAUGGUUUAAUGGACUCUAAUGUGUUAUGUAAACAUUUA